RNAcentral lists this ribosomal RNA (433 nucleotides) under uncultured bacterium. RNAcentral describes it as "bacterial SSU rRNA". It matches the Rfam family "Bacterial small subunit ribosomal RNA", at positions 29 to 507 of the family's 1533-position model. The record is from RNAcentral.
AACGUACGCUGGCGGCACGCCUAACACAUGCAAGUCGAACGCAGUAGCAAUACUGAGUGGCAGACGGGUGAGUAACAUGUGGGAAUCUGCCUUGUGGUUCAGGACAACAUUGGGAAACCGAUGCUAAUACUGGAUGAUGACUUCGGUCCAAAGAUUUAUCGCCCAGGGGUGAGCCCGCGUAGGAUUAGCUAGUUGGUGAGGUAAAGGCUCACCAAGGCGACGAUCCUUAGCUGGUCUGAGAGGAUGAUCAGCCACACUGGGACUGAGACACGGCCCAGACUCCUACGGGAGGCAGCAGUGGGGAAUAUUGGACAAUGGGCGAAAGCCUGAUCCAGCCAUGCCGCGUGAGUGAAGAAGGCCUUAGGGUUGUAAAGCUCUUUCAGCGGGGAAGAUAAUGACGGUACCCGCAGAAGAAGUCCCGGCUAACUUCGUG